Molecule: ribosomal RNA, 207 nt
Filed under: uncultured bacterium
Lineage: Bacteria
Description: partial 16S ribosomal RNA
Rfam family: Bacterial small subunit ribosomal RNA
Source: RNAcentral
CGCGUAGGCGGUGAGAUGUGUGUGAUGUGAAAGCCCCGGGCUUAACCUGGGAAGUGCAUCGCAAACUAUCUGACUGGAGUAUAUGAGAGGGUGGCGGAAUUUCCGGUGUAGCGGUGAAAUGCGUAGAGAUCGGAAGGAACGUCGAUGGCGAAGGCAGCCACCUGGCAUAAUACUGACGCUGAGGCGCGAAAGCGUGGGGAGCGAACA